GGAUGACUCGACGAUGAAGAGGUUGUCGGACAUGGAGGCGGCGCUGAAGAGGGCGAGUGGGGAGGUUGAUCGAGCUAAUAAUGUCGUCCGAAAGCUUGAGAAUGAGAAUGCAGAGAUGCGGGCGGAGAUGGAAGCUUCGAAGCUGAGUGCGUCCGAGUCCGCCAAGAUGCGGCAGGAGGUUGAGAAGCGGGAGAAGAAGUGUCUUAAGCGCUUGCAAGCAUGGGAAAAGCAGAGGGAUAAGCUGAAGGAGGAUAUAGCUGAGGAGAGGAGGAAAAUUGCUGAGGUGGAGCAGGAGUUGAAUGGAGUCCUGGAUUCUAACAAGCAAGCUGAGAUGAAAUGGAGGCAAGCAAUAAAGGCGAAAGAGCUCGCAAUUGCGCAAGUCGAGGAGGAGCGCCGAGCUAGGGAAGCCGCCGAUGUGAGCAUUAAGAGAAGGCAUGAAUCGCUUCGACAA
Molecule: unclassified non-coding RNA, 451 nt
Filed under: Hevea brasiliensis (rubber tree)
Lineage: Eukaryota; Viridiplantae; Streptophyta; Magnoliopsida; Malpighiales; Euphorbiaceae
Source: RNAcentral